GACAGAGUAGACUGUAAAAUGAUGUUCUCUGGAAUUUGCGCAUUUUUCCUUUACAUCUUCAAAAACCAUUUUGCUGUGUCUUUAGCAAAUGAAACAAUGUGUUCAAAAUUUUCCUGUGAAGAACAGCUUCUAGAAAAAAUGAUUAGGCAGGAAAACAAAGUAGAAAUGAUGCAAAAUAACAUUCAGAAAACUCAAGAAGCGAUUGCGAUAUUCUGGAGGGGGAAAUUAAGAAAACUAGAGCAAAGGUGUCUCAAAAACUUAAAUCGAUACAGAGCAAUGUCACGGAGGUGGUUGAAAGAGAGAAAGAAAAGAAUGAAGAAAUACUGAAGAAAGCAUUUGAAGAACUACGUAAUGAUUUCACGAAUGAUAUGGAGGAAGGAAGAAAGAUGUUAAUAGACUUUUCAGAAAAAAUAAAAAAGCCUUCCAUUGCAUUCUUUGCACACAAUGUGGUAGAUCUAUAACUUAACAAGACAGACGAAAUCAUCAUAUUUACCACAGCAACGACCAACGAAGGAUCAGGAUAUGACACUUCUACUGGAAUCUUCACAGCACCUGUCGGGGCAUUGUACCAAUUUAUUGUUAAUUAUUGUACAUGGGUCAAACAACAUUCACCUCUUGCGUUAGUGCUAUCAGGAAACGUGAUUGCUCGGUCGGACAAUUACGAUGCAAAAAAACUCAGCUUGCAGCUCCUUUUCUGCAGUUAUGAGAGUGAAAUCUGCAGAGCAGUUAUGGGUCAAAUGUCUGUAUGGCUAUUCCGGUUAUGCUUUGAAUAAAGAUGACUGGAGGAUGAUCUCCUUCAGUGGCAUUCUCAUCAACAAAUAAAUCAUUUAUUACCAACAUUCACAUAGCAAUCUGUUUAAAUACAUACUUAUCUGAAUUGCUAAUUAAACUUGAAAUUGAGAUACAUUAUUAAAAUUAUAUGCUCACAACUAAUUGCUAAAAGAGAUACCUAGCAUAUAUUUUUGUUUCAAGCAAGACGGGUAAGCAAGAGUGGUCCUGGAUAUUUGUUGUGAAUCACUGUUAAUCAAUCUCUAAAUAUAGUUUCACAUUUUCAAAAUCAUGCAAGGCUGAUCAAUUUAUCUUCAAUAUGUUUGAAUUAUACGUCUUGUUAUAAUGUAGAUUUGUAUUAUCAUAUAAAGAAUUUACAUUUACGCAUUUUUUUUCUAAUAUAGCUACGAAACUUAAUUUUAGAUAAUUCAGAACAAUGACAUGAGAAUAAAAUUGUCUGAAAUCAACAUCUGUAAUAAUGUUUAUUUUCAUUAACUUUGCAUAUCAGUAGUUAUGUUUAACACAAUAAUGAAUAAAAUAAUUUGUAAGAUUUAAGCAUAGUUUUAAAAGGUGCAUUUAUUGGAAAAGCAAACUGUAGUGUAAAUAAUGACAGUAUCUUUAAAGGUUAGUUAAAAAAGAGUCACAUUAAAUUCAAGACAUUUACAAUGUAUAUGGUAUUUCAUAUAUGAUGAGGAUAUUUAUUCGUUUGACUGACUAUGGGAUAUAUUUUCACAUAAUGUGAUAAAAUUUCAUGUAUUUGCACAAUUCGAUUUGUGAUUGAUUGUGUUGAAGUAGCGCUUUUUUUCAAAAGCUUGAUCAGGACAUGCUUUUUUGUAUAAUAUACAUAAAUAUGAUAAUAAAACGUAUAGGCUUUCUCGCAAACGUUCAA
This is a long non-coding RNA of Ruditapes philippinarum (Manila clam), 1657 nucleotides long. RefSeq lists it as uncharacterized. The transcript has 3 exons. NCBI's taxonomy places the organism in Eukaryota, Metazoa, Mollusca, Bivalvia, Venerida, Veneridae. The record is from RefSeq and is a predicted model, not a curated record.